RNAcentral lists this ribosomal RNA (274 nucleotides) under uncultured bacterium. RNAcentral's name for it is "partial 16S ribosomal RNA". It matches the Rfam family "Bacterial small subunit ribosomal RNA", at positions 523 to 796 of the family's 1533-position model. The record is from RNAcentral.
CUACGGAGGGUGCGAGCGUUGUUCGGAAUUAUUGGGCGUAAAGAGCAUGUAGGCGGUCUGUUAAGUCUGGUGUGAAAGCCCGGGGCUCAACCCCGGAAGUGCAUUGGAUACUGGCAGACUUGAGUAUGGGAGAGGAAAGCGGAAUUCCGAGUGUAGGAGUGAAAUCCGUAGAUAUUCGGAGGAACACCAGUGGCGAAGGCGGCUUUCUGGACCAAUACUGACGCUGAGAUGCGAAAGCGUGGGGAGCGAACAGGAUUAGAAACCCCAGUAGUCC